UGGUAUCUUGGUCGCGGUGUCAUUCUUACUAAAGAUAACCUUAUUAAGAGAAAUUGGCAUGGAAUCCCACAAUGUGUCUUUUGUCACCAUGAUGAGACAAUAAAACAUUUAUUCUUCCAAUGCAAAUUGGCUCAUUCCGUAUGGCCAGUCAUCCAGAUAGCUUCUAGCUUGUAUCCUCCUUGUAGUGUUGCUAAUGUAUCUGGCAACUGGUUACAUGGAAUAGAUUACAGGUUUAGAACUAUUCUUAGGGUGGGGGCACUUGUCGUUAUUUGGUUGCUUUGGCUAUGUAGAAAUGAUAAGGUGUUUAACGAUAAAGGUACUUCUCUGAUGCAGGUUAUCUACAGGUGUACCGGGACUCUUUGUUUAUGGUCCUCUCUACAACGUGUGGAGAAUCGAGACCUGUUUACGGAGGUGUCUACAUGA
This 423-nucleotide ribosomal RNA is filed under the name Triticum aestivum (bread wheat). RNAcentral describes it as "partial small subunit ribosomal RNA". The record is from RNAcentral. Lineage: Eukaryota; Viridiplantae; Streptophyta; Magnoliopsida; Poales; Poaceae.